CGAAGGUGGGUUCGAUAAUUGGGGUGAAGUCGUAACAAGGUAGCCGUAUCGGAAGGUGCGGCUGGAUCACCUCCUUUCUAAGGAGA
This 86-nucleotide ribosomal RNA is filed under the name Bacteroides thetaiotaomicron. Its description in RNAcentral is "partial 16S ribosomal RNA". The stretch from base 1 to 77 matches the Rfam family "Bacterial small subunit ribosomal RNA", at positions 1457 to 1533 of the family's 1533-position model. The record is from RNAcentral. Lineage: Bacteria; Pseudomonadati; Bacteroidota; Bacteroidia; Bacteroidales; Bacteroidaceae.